This 526-nucleotide ribosomal RNA is filed under the name uncultured Actinomycetes bacterium. RNAcentral describes it as "bacterial SSU rRNA". It matches the Rfam family "Bacterial small subunit ribosomal RNA", at positions 378 to 896 of the family's 1533-position model. The record is from RNAcentral. Lineage: Bacteria; Bacillati; Actinomycetota; Actinomycetes.
AAAGCCUGACGCAGCGACGCCGCGUGCGGGAAGAAGGCCUUCGGGUUGUAAACCGCUUUCAGGAGGGACGAAGCCACUCGGGUUAAUAGCCCAGAGGGUGACGGUACCUCCAGAAGAAGCCCCGGCUAACUACGUGCCAGCAGCCGCGGUAAUACGUAGGGGGCAAGCGUUGUCCGGAUUCAUUGGGCGUAAAGAGCGUGUAGGCGGCCAGGUAGGUCGGUUGUGAAAACUGGAGGCUCAACCUUCAGAGGUCGACCGAAACCAUCUGGCUAGAGUCCGGGAGAGGAGAGUGGAAUUCCUGGUGUAGCGGUGAAAUGCGCAGAUAUCAGGAAGAACACCCGUGGCGAAAGCGGCUCUCUGGAACGGUACUGACGCUGAGACGCGAAAGCGUGGGGAGCGAACAGGAUUAGAUACCCUGGUAGUCCACGCCGUAAACGAUGGGCACUAGGUGUGGGAGGUGUCGACUCCUUCCGUGCCGAAGCUAACGCAUUAAGUGCCCCGCCUGGGGAGUACGGCCGCAAGGCUA